Small nuclear RNA from Cynoglossus semilaevis (tongue sole), 101 nucleotides. The record is from Ensembl. NCBI's taxonomy places the organism in Eukaryota, Metazoa, Chordata, Actinopteri, Pleuronectiformes, Cynoglossidae.
UAGUUGUCGUUGUAGCCGUGUUACACAAAUUGGAAUGAUACAGAGAAGAUUAGCAUGGCCACUGGAUGACACGAACAUUUUGAGAAGCGUUCCUCAUUGGC